GAGAGAUGGCUGAGCGGUCGAAGGCGGCGGUCUCGAAAAUCGCUGUACGGGCAACCGUACCGAGGGUUCGAAUCCCUCUCUCUCC
Molecule: transfer RNA, 85 nt
Filed under: Victivallis lenta
Lineage: Bacteria; Pseudomonadati; Lentisphaerota; Lentisphaeria; Victivallales; Victivallaceae
Also listed under: 1 other name
Rfam family: tRNA
About the family: Transfer RNA (tRNA) molecules are approximately 80 nucleotides in length. Their secondary structure includes four short double-helical elements and three loops (D, anti-codon, and T loops).
Source: RNAcentral